AAAUAUUGGGUCAAAACUGUAGGGGGGAAGUAUUUAGGACCAUUUGUUGUUGUUGUUGUUGUUGUUGUUAUUGUUGUAGUAUAUUCCAUGCAUCAACUCAUCCUUUUUUCCUUUUUCUUUUCUUUUGUUGCAUUCUAGAAGUAGUAAUGUUUAAAUACAUAAUGAAGUAUGUAUUGUUUUGUGUGCGUGGUUGCACAAAAUCAACAGUAAUGUCUAAUCUUAGAAUUCGAGGAUCUUGUAUAAAUAUGGUUUAUGGUAAAAUAGAAAUUUGGAUGCAUGAGCGAGGAAUUGCAGGAUUAUUAGUUAAUUAAUCAUGCAGAAUGUAAGCAAAGGCUUAAUAAAAUACCAGAAAAGUUAUCUUAAUUGUCC
This 369-nucleotide long non-coding RNA is filed under the name Physcomitrium patens. RNAcentral's name for it is "long non-coding RNA (PPAT_LNC014466)". The record is from RNAcentral. Lineage: Eukaryota; Viridiplantae; Streptophyta; Bryopsida; Funariales; Funariaceae.